GACGAACGCUGGCGGCGUGCUUAACACAUGCAAGUCGAACGGAAAGGCCCUGCUUUUGUGGGGUGCUCGAGUGGCGAACGGGUGAGUAACACGUGAGUAACCUGCCCUUGACUUUGGGAUAACUUCAGGAAACUGGGGCUAAUACCGGAUAGGAGCUCCUGCUGCAUGGUGGGGGUUGGAAAGUUUCGGCGGUUGGGGAUGGACUCGCGGCUUAUCAGCUUGUUGGUGGGGUAGUGGCUUACCAAGGCUUUGACGGGUAGCCGGCCUGAGAGGGUGACCGGCCACAUUGGGACUGAGAUACGGCCCAGACUCCUACGGGAGGCAGCAGUGGGGAAUAUUGCACAAUGGGCGGAAGCCUGAUGCAGCAACGCCGCGUGCGGGAUGACGGCCUUCGGGUUGUAAACCGCUUUCGCCUGUGACGAAGCGCGAGUGCCGGUAAUGGGUAAAGAAGCACCGGCUAACUACGUG
RNAcentral lists this ribosomal RNA (468 nucleotides) under uncultured bacterium. RNAcentral describes it as "partial 16S ribosomal RNA". It matches the Rfam family "Bacterial small subunit ribosomal RNA", at positions 28 to 507 of the family's 1533-position model. The record is from RNAcentral.